This 72-nucleotide transfer RNA is filed under the name Camelus bactrianus (Bactrian camel). It matches the Rfam family "tRNA". Rfam says of the family: Transfer RNA (tRNA) molecules are approximately 80 nucleotides in length. Their secondary structure includes four short double-helical elements and three loops (D, anti-codon, and T loops). The record is from Rfam by way of RNAcentral. Lineage: Eukaryota; Metazoa; Chordata; Mammalia; Artiodactyla; Camelidae. RNAcentral also lists the same sequence under 2 other names.
GAGGGCAUAGCUCAGUGGAAGAGUGUGCACUUAGCAUGCACAAGGUCCUGGGUUCAAUCCCCAGUACCUCCA